CCCUUCGUGGUGUAGUGGUCAGCAUGCUUAACACGUAUUCAAGAGGUCUGUGGUUCGAGUCCUGGCGAGGGCA
Molecule: transfer RNA, 73 nt
Filed under: Stegodyphus mimosarum
Lineage: Eukaryota; Metazoa; Arthropoda; Arachnida; Araneae; Eresidae
Rfam family: tRNA
About the family: Transfer RNA (tRNA) molecules are approximately 80 nucleotides in length.
Source: Rfam by way of RNAcentral